This 225-nucleotide ribosomal RNA is filed under the name uncultured bacterium. RNAcentral describes it as "partial 16S ribosomal RNA". It matches the Rfam family "Bacterial small subunit ribosomal RNA", at positions 524 to 748 of the family's 1533-position model. The record is from RNAcentral.
UACGAAGGGGGCUAGCGUUGCUCGGAAUUACUGGGCGUAAAGGGCGCGUAGGCGGAUCGUUAAGUCAGAGGUGAAAUCCCGGAGCUCAACUUCGGAAUUGCCUUUGAUACUGGCGAUCUUGAGUGUGAGAGAGGUAUGUGGAACUCCGAGUGUAGAGGUGAAAUUCGUAGACAUUCGGAAGAACACCAGUGGCGAAGGCGACAUACUGGCUCAUUACUGACGCUG